AACGCACAUUGCGCCCGCCGGUAUUCCGGCGGGCAUGCCUGUUCGAGCGUCAUUUCAACCAUCAAGCCCAGCGCUUGUGUUGGGGACCUGCGGCUGCCGCAGGCCCUGAAAACCAGUGGCGGCCUCGCUGUAGCACCGGGCGUAGUAGUUAAAUCUCGCUCUGGUUCGCGCGGCGGGCGCCUGCCGUUAAACCCCUUCUAACCAAAGGUUGACCUCGGAUCAGGUAGGAAUACCCGCUGAACUUAA
This 246-nucleotide unclassified non-coding RNA is filed under the name uncultured Cladorrhinum. RNAcentral describes it as "sequence contains ITS2". The stretch from base 1 to 52 matches the Rfam family "5.8S ribosomal RNA", at positions 103 to 154 of the family's 154-position model. Lineage: Eukaryota; Fungi; Ascomycota; Sordariomycetes; Sordariales; Lasiosphaeriaceae. The record is from RNAcentral.